Molecule: ribosomal RNA, 1538 nt
Filed under: Escherichia coli
Lineage: Bacteria; Pseudomonadati; Pseudomonadota; Gammaproteobacteria; Enterobacterales; Enterobacteriaceae
Description: bacterial SSU rRNA
Rfam family: Bacterial small subunit ribosomal RNA
Source: RNAcentral
UUGAAGAGUUUGAUCAUGGCUCAGAUUGAACGCUGGCGGCAGGCCUAACACAUGCAAGUCGAACGGUAACAGGAAACAGCUUGCUGUUUCGCUGACGAGUGGCGGACGGGUGAGUAAUGUCUGGGAAACUGCCUGAUGGAGGGGGAUAACUACUGGAAACGGUAGCUAAUACCGCAUAACGUCGCAAGACCAAAGAGGGGGACCUUCGGGCCUCUUGCCAUCGGAUGUGCCCAGAUGGGAUUAGCUUGUUGGUGGGGUAACGGCUCACCAAGGCGACGAUCCCUAGCUGGUCUGAGAGGAUGACCAGCCACACUGGAACUGAGACACGGUCCAGACUCCUACGGGAGGCAGCAGUGGGGAAUAUUGCACAAUGGGCGCAAGCCUGAUGCAGCCAUGCCGCGUGUAUGAAGAAGGCCUUCGGGUUGUAAAGUACUUUCAGCGGGGAGGAAGGGAGUAAAGUUAAUACCUUUGCUCAUUGACGUUACCCGCAGAAGAAGCACCGGCUAACUCCGUGCCAGCAGCCGCGGUAAUACGGAGGGUGCAAGCGUUAAUCGGAAUUACUGGGCGUAAAGCGCACGCAGGCGGUUUGUUAAGUCAGAUGUGAAAUCCCCGGGCUCAACCUGGGAACUGCAUCUGAUACUGGCAAGCUUGAGUCUCGUAGAGGGGGGGAGAAUUCCAGGUGUAGCGGUGAAAUGCGUAGAGAUCUGGAGGAAUACCGGUGGCGAAGGCGGCCCCCUGGACGAAGACUGACGCUCAGGUGCGAAAGCGUGGGGAGCAAACAGGAUUAGAUACCCUGGUAGUCCACGCCGUAAACGAUGUCGACUUGGAGGUUGUGCCCUUGAGGCGUGGCUUCCGGAGCUAACGCGUUAAGUCGACCGCCUGGGGAGUACGGCCGCAAGGUUAAAACUCAAAUGAAUUGACGGGGGCCCGCACAAGCGGUGGAGCAUGUGGUUUAAUUCGAUGCAACGCGAAGAACCUUACCUGGUCUUGACAUCCACGGAAGUUUUCAGAGAUGAGAAUGUGCCUUCGGGAACCGUGAGACAGGUGCUGCAUGGCUGUCGUCAGCUCGUGUUGUGAAAUGUUGGGUUAAGUCCCGCAACGAGCGCAACCCUUAUCCUUUGUUGCCAGCGGUCCGGCCGGGAACUCAAAGGAGACUGCCAGUGAUAAACUGGAGGAAGGUGGGGAUGACGUCAAGUCAUCAUGGCCCUUACGACCAGGGCUACACACGUGCUACAAUGGCGCAUACAAAGAGAAGCGACCUCGCGAGAGCAAGCGGACCUCAUAAAGUGCGUCGUAGUCCGGAUUGGAGUCUGCAACUCGACUCCAUGAAGUCGGAAUCGCUAGUAAUCGUGGAUCAGAAUGCCACGGUGAAUACGUUCCCGGGCCUUGUACACACCGCCCGUCACACCAUGGGAGUGGGUUGCAAAAGAAGUAGGUAGCUUAACCUUCGGGAGGGCGCUUACCACUUUGUGAUUCAUGACUGGGGUGAAGUCGUAACAAGGUAACCGUAGGGGAACCUGCGGUUGGAUCACCUCCUU